GAAAUAUUGAACAAAACCAUAACACUGCUCACGCCUUUUGUCUCGCUCUACGUUUCUAUCCUGGUUCACGCCACCAUCACCGAUUCACCACCAUGACAAGCACCAUUCCAGAAAAGAAAAAAAGAAAGAAAACUCACAUCUCAAUAAUUCCAACAAUACCAAAAUUAUGCUCUUUAGAGAAAAUCAAUUUCUUAAUUUCGGUUCCUUGAUAUUGUUCAGUACAAAGAUUUUUAGAGAUAGUUAAAAGUUUAAAUGGCGAUCUUUCCACGGAAGAGCCAAAGACUUGUACCGAUGACAGCUGAGUUUUUUUUCAUUUCUGAAGUUUUUUUUAAUGCUGAGAUUAUAUUUGGAUCUAGAUUCUGAUUCGUCCUAUGAUGUUUAAAGGUUGGCGACGGAAAGGAAACCGCUAGUGGGUUGACCUUACCAUGUUCUUAUUCUAUUGAGGGAUCCUCCUAAUUUAUUUUCCAGACAACCAUCAGUGAGAACAAAGCUGUUCAUGGAUGUCGUGAACUUCAACAAUUUUAUCAGGAGUUCGAAGUUACCUGAAAGCAUGCAAGUUAUAUGUAAUGAGAUGAGCUAAGAUUAGUGACUACUGCUUGUGCCCCUAAAUUUGUCUCCCUUUUCCAUGUUACGAUUGUCUGCGCUUUUUGAUGGUUCUCAUAUCCUGGAUAGAUGACUUGAAAACACAAUAUCCAUAUUGUUUUCAACCAAAAGGUUAUGUCCAAUGCAGAUGUGGGUUUCCACAUUGAAGAUGUGGCAAAUGAAUUGCACAUGGUGGAGAGCUAAUAUAGCGAUUGCUCAUAUAUCUCUUGGUGCAGGAUAUAUGUGACACUUUGUCCAAACCAAAUCUGUUAAGCAAUAUGUUAGCUAUUUUAUGCAUCAGAUCUUUAAGUUACUAAGGAUGCCCCAUCGCGUCUCUAUGUAUUCAAAUUUUGGACAGUCAUUCCUCCUGCUUUUCAAAGGAAGCCACCUACAGGCUACAACUGAAGAAGAUUUAUGUCACGUGUUUGUCGUGCUGCCACUUGAUGUACUCAUGUAAUUUAUUUAUAUUGUGUGUAGUCGUUCUAUAAUGAUUUUUUA
Long non-coding RNA from Papaver somniferum (opium poppy), 1080 nucleotides. RefSeq lists it as uncharacterized. Lineage: Eukaryota; Viridiplantae; Streptophyta; Magnoliopsida; Ranunculales; Papaveraceae. The transcript has 4 exons. The record is from RefSeq and is a predicted model, not a curated record.